RNAcentral lists this long non-coding RNA (1344 nucleotides) under Homo sapiens (human). RNAcentral describes it as "HSALNT0363543". The record is from RNAcentral. Lineage: Eukaryota; Metazoa; Chordata; Mammalia; Primates; Hominidae.
CGCUUUAUACACAAAGGUGUUCAUCUCAGUGGUCUUUGUAACACCCAAAGAGAAAUAGAAGCAACUGAAACAUCCACUGAGGCUGUAAGUAAACCAUGUUGUGAUAUUAGAGUCACCUGAAACAUACGCAAAGUGUCACCCUGAUAUAUAUAAAAAAAAAAAAAGCUGUGUGAAAAAACACAGGUAAGUGAUAUACUCAUAGCUACAGAAACUCAGCACAGAACCAACUCCUGUACUGUGGCCAGCAGCAGCAGGAGGCAAUGAGGGGCAGGCGGGCAGACGCUGCCACUGUCAGGACCCUUGUGAGACCCAGCACUUCCCACGCUCAGCAGCCUCCUUGAGACACGUCUGUGUGUGCAAGAGGUCAACAAGGGGAAUGGCCUAAACAUUUCUCAGCAAGGAGACCUGCACCCGCUGUCCCACACGGGAGCCACUGACCACCGGCGGCUAUUUCAUGAAAAUUUCAAUGCAACAAAAUUCAACACUCAGUUCUUCGGUGGCAACAGCCACGUGUCAAGUACUCCACAGCCACAUGUGACACGUGGCUACAGCUCAUCCCCCCAGAAAGUCCAUAUGAAAAUGGAGAGGGUAAGAAGACAUGGCUGCGUGAACAGGCAGGCUGCAGAGUGAAAAUCGCAAUGCUUCAUGUAUACGUCAAAGAAGAACAAAGCAACUGUUUCCCCAGGUAACUACAAAUGCCUGAAAUUACACAGGGAAAAGUCUGGAAGGAAAACACCAAAAUAUCCAGUUGAAUAGAGUGGCUAUUCUCCAGUGAGACCCAAACUGGUGGUGCCAAUGAUCAGCGAACUUCCUCUCGGCUCCCGACAUCCUCCUCGAUACGCACUCUGCCACAACGGGCAGGGUCCCUUUCAGCGUCUCAUCCACAGUGAACGGGAGUUGAGGCUUUCUUAGCGGAGGGGCUGGAGGGACACAGCAGGAGGGCAGGAGGGCAGGUGGAGGGACAUGGCAGGAGGGCAGGUGAAGGGACACAGCAGGAGGGCAGGUGGAGGGACACGGCAGGAGGGCAAGUGGAGGGACAUGGCAGGAGGGCAGGAGGGCAGGUGGAGGGACGUGGCAGGAGGGCAGGUGGAGGGACAUGGCAGGAGGGCAGGAGGGCAGGUGGAGGGACGUGGCAGGAGGGCAGGUGGAGGGACAUGGCAGGAGGGCAGGUGGAGGGACACAGCAGGAGGGCAGGUGGAGGGGCAUGGCAGGAGGGCAAGUGGAGGGACAUGGCAGGAGGGCAGGAGGGCAAGUGGAGGGACAUGGCAUGAGGGCAGGAGGGCAAGUGGAGGGACAUGGCACGAGGGCAGGAGGGCAGGUGGAGGGACAUGGCAGGAGGGCAGG